UACGUAGGGUGCAAGCGUUGUCCGGAAUUAUUGGGCGUAAAGAGCUCCUAGGCGGUUUGUCGCGUCUGCUGUGAAAACCCGAGGCUCAACCUCGGGCCUGCAGUGGGUACGGGCAGACUAGAGUGCGGUAGGGGAGAUUGGAAUUCCUGGUGUAGCGGUGGAAUGCGCAGAUAUCAGGAGGAACACCAAUGGCGAAGGCAGAUCUCUGGGCCGUAACUGACGCUGAGGAGCGAAAGCAUGGGGAGCGAACAGG
Molecule: ribosomal RNA, 253 nt
Filed under: uncultured bacterium
Lineage: Bacteria
Description: partial 16S ribosomal RNA
Rfam family: Bacterial small subunit ribosomal RNA
Source: RNAcentral